Molecule: transfer RNA, 68 nt
Filed under: Marmota monax (woodchuck)
Lineage: Eukaryota; Metazoa; Chordata; Mammalia; Rodentia; Sciuridae
Description: tRNA.Thr
Source: RNAcentral
GUUGUGGUUCAGUGGUAAACCACUUGCCUAGUAUGUAUGAGGCACUGAGUUCGAUCCUCAGACCAACA